RNAcentral lists this ribosomal RNA (443 nucleotides) under uncultured bacterium. RNAcentral describes it as "partial 16S ribosomal RNA". It matches the Rfam family "Bacterial small subunit ribosomal RNA", at positions 338 to 795 of the family's 1533-position model. The record is from RNAcentral.
CCUACGGGUGACAGCAGUGGGGGAUAUUGGACAAUGGGGGGAACCCUGAUCCAGCGACGCCGCGUGAGUGAAGAAGUAUUUCGGUAUGUAAAGCUCUGUCAGCAGGGAAGCAAGAAAUGACGGUACCUGAGUAAGAAGCCCCGGCGAACUACGUGCCAGCAGCCGCGGUAAUACGUAGGGGGCAAGCGUGAUCCGGAAUUACUGGGUGUAAAGGGAGCGUAGACGGUAAUGCAAGUCUGGAGUGAAAGGCGGGGGCCCAACCCCCGGACUGCACUGGAAACUGUGUAACUGGAGUGCAGGAGGGGCAGGCGGAAUUCCUGGUGUAGCCGUGAAAUGCGUAGAUAUUAGGAGGAACACCAGUGGCGAAGGCGGCCUGCUGGACUGUAACUGACGUUGAGGCUCGAAGGCGUGGGGAGCAAACAGGAUUAGAUACCCGAGUAGUC